GAGACUCUGUGCGCGUGCAUAUCAAUAAGCGGAGGAAAAGAAACUAACAAGGAUUCCCUUAGUAACGGCGAGUGAAGCGGGAAGAGCUCAAAUUUGAAAUCUUCAAGGUUUUACCUUGACGAAUUGUAGUUUAAAGAAGUGUUUUCUGUUGGAGUUUUGGUAAAAGUUCUUUGGAAUAGGACAUCAUAGAGGGUGAGAAUCCCGUAUUUGACCGUUACUUUCCAGCUGUGUGAUACACUUUCAAAGAGUCGGAUUGUUUGGGAAUGCAGUCCAAAAUGGGUGGUAAAUUUCAUCUAAAGCUAAAUAUUGGCGAGAGACCGAUAGCGAACAAGUACCGUGAGGGAAAGAUGAAAAGAACCUUGAAAAGAGAGUUAAACAGUACGUGAAAUUGUCAAAAGGGAAGUGUUUGACACCAGUGUUGUUUUCUCGAAAAUCAAUUAAAAAUGAUGGGAUUUUGUGUUGUAUUGACUUUAUCAGCUUUCUGCACUUUUUUCUUAUCUUUUUUAAUGCACUUUUCGUUUAACAAGUCAACAUCAAUUUCUUUUGUUGUAAAAGAGGUCAUUGGAAGGUGGCUUUUCACUUCGGUGAAAAGUGUUUAUAGCCUUUGGCUUCUACAAUCGGAGAGAUUGAGGUACAUGCAGCGUAGACUCCUUCGGGGUUAGAUACAUUUGUGCUAAGCUAUAGCCUUGUAUAGACAACUUGUUGACUAUGCUCAGUCAUGUAGCUUACUCGCUUAUGCUAUUUUACCUACGCUUAGGAUGUUGAAGUCAUCGUAUCGCGC
RNAcentral lists this ribosomal RNA (781 nucleotides) under uncultured Neocallimastigales. Its description in RNAcentral is "partial large subunit ribosomal RNA". It matches the Rfam family "Eukaryotic large subunit ribosomal RNA", at positions 23 to 645 of the family's 3401-position model. The record is from RNAcentral. Lineage: Eukaryota; Fungi; Neocallimastigomycota; Neocallimastigomycetes; Neocallimastigales.